This 448-nucleotide ribosomal RNA is filed under the name uncultured organism. RNAcentral's name for it is "partial 16S ribosomal RNA". It matches the Rfam family "Bacterial small subunit ribosomal RNA", at positions 332 to 797 of the family's 1533-position model. The record is from RNAcentral.
UACACUCCUACGGGAGGCAGCAGUGGGGAAUAUUGGACAAUGGGCGCAAGCCUGAUCCAGCCAUGCCGCGUGAGUGAUGAAGGCCCUAGGGUUGUAAAGCUCUUUCACCGGUGAAGAUAAUGACGGUAACCGGAGAAGAAGCCCCGGCUAACUUCGUGCCAGCAGCCGCGGUAAUACGAAGGGGGCUAGCGUUGUUCGGAUUUACUGGGCGUAAAGCGCACGUAGGCGGACUAUUAAGUCAGGGGUGAAAUCCCGGGGCUCAACCCCGGAACUGCCUUUGAUACUGGUAGUCUUGAGUUCGAGAGAGGUGAGUGGAAUUCCGAGUGUAGAGGUGAAAUUCGUAGAUAUUCGGAGGAACACCAGUGGCGAAGGCGGCUCACUGGCUCGAUACUGACGCUGAGGUGCGAAAGCGUGGGGAGCAAACAGGAUUAGAUACCCUAGUAGUCCC